Molecule: Y RNA, 102 nt
Filed under: Saimiri boliviensis boliviensis (Bolivian squirrel monkey)
Lineage: Eukaryota; Metazoa; Chordata; Mammalia; Primates; Cebidae
Description: Y RNA (ENSSBOG00000012660.1)
Rfam family: Y RNA
About the family: Y RNAs are components of the Ro ribonucleoprotein particle (Ro RNP), in association with Ro60 and La proteins. The Y RNAs and Ro60 and La proteins are well conserved, but the function of the Ro RNP is not known.
Source: Rfam by way of RNAcentral
GGCUGGUAAGAGUGCGAUAGUGUUUACAACUAAUUGAUCACAGCCAGUUACAGACUUCUUUUUUCCUUCUCCAGUCCCACUGCUUCACUUGACUAGUCUUAC